Molecule: non-coding RNA, 72 nt
Organism: Aedes albopictus (Asian tiger mosquito)
Lineage: Eukaryota; Metazoa; Arthropoda; Insecta; Diptera; Culicidae
Source: Rfam
GGCCCGGUAGCCUAGUUGGUAAAGCAUUUGUCUAGCGUAUAAGAGUCGUGAGUUCGAAUGUCACCUGAGCUG